ACGGAAGGCAGCAGUGAGGAAUAUUGGUCAAUGGGCGGAAGCCUGAACCAGCCAAGUCGCGUGAAGGAUGAAGGUAUUAUGUAUUGUAAACUUCUUUAGACGUAGAGAAAUAAGCGGGACGCGUCCCGCGAUGCUAGUAUGCGUAGAAUAAGGGUCGGCUAACUCCGUGCCAGCAGCCGCGGUAAUACGGAGGACCCGAGCGUUAUCCGGAUUUAUUGGGUUUAAAGGGUGCGCAGGCGGAGGAUUAAGUCAGCGGUGAAAUUUUCAUGCUCAACAUGAAAACUGCCAUUGAUACUGGUCCCCUUGAGAGAUGUCGAGGAUGGCGGAAUGUGAUGUGUAGCGGUGAAAUGCUUAGAUAUGUCACAGAACACCGAUUGCGAAGGCAGCUGUCCAGAGAUCAUCUGACGCUCAGGCACGAAAGCAUGGGUAUCAAACAGGAUUAGAUACCCUGGUA
RNAcentral lists this ribosomal RNA (454 nucleotides) under uncultured Porphyromonadaceae bacterium. RNAcentral's name for it is "partial 16S ribosomal RNA". It matches the Rfam family "Bacterial small subunit ribosomal RNA", at positions 341 to 792 of the family's 1533-position model. Lineage: Bacteria; Pseudomonadati; Bacteroidota; Bacteroidia; Bacteroidales; Porphyromonadaceae. The record is from RNAcentral.